AGUGAACGCUGGCGGUAGGCCUAACACAUGCAAGUCGAACGGCAGCACAGUAAGAGCUUGCUCUUACGGGUGGCGAGUGGCGGACGGGUGAGGAAUACAUCGGAAUCUACUUUUUCGUGGGGGAUAACGUAGGGAAACUUACGCUAAUACCGCAUACGACCUACGGGUGAAAGCAGGGGAUCUUCGGACCUUGCGCGAUUGAAUGAGCCGAUGUCGGAUUAGCUAGUUGGCGGGGUAAAGGCCCACCAAGGCGACGAUCCGUAGCUGGUCUGAGAGGAUGAACAGCCACACGGGAACUGAGACACGGUCCAGACACCUACGGGAGGCAGCAGUGGGGAAUAUUGGACAAUGGGGGAGAGCCUGAUCCAGCGAUACCGGGUGGGGGAAGAAGGCGUUCGGGUUGUAAAGCCCUUUUGUUGGGAAAGAAAAGCAGCAGGUUAAUACCCCGCUGUUCUGACGGUACCCAAAGAAUAAGCACCGGCUAACUUCGUG
Molecule: ribosomal RNA, 492 nt
Filed under: uncultured bacterium
Lineage: Bacteria
Description: partial 16S ribosomal RNA
Rfam family: Bacterial small subunit ribosomal RNA
Source: RNAcentral